This 85-nucleotide transfer RNA is filed under the name Brevundimonas sp. Root1423. RNAcentral describes it as "tRNA-Leu". It matches the Rfam family "tRNA". Rfam says of the family: Transfer RNA (tRNA) molecules are approximately 80 nucleotides in length. Their secondary structure includes four short double-helical elements and three loops (D, anti-codon, and T loops). Lineage: Bacteria; Pseudomonadati; Pseudomonadota; Alphaproteobacteria; Caulobacterales; Caulobacteraceae. RNAcentral also lists the same sequence under 4 other names. The record is from RNAcentral.
GCGGAUGUGGCGGAACUGGUAGACGCACCAGAUUUAGGUUCUGGCGCCGCAAGGCGUGGAGGUUCGAGUCCUCUCAUCCGCACCA